Molecule: ribosomal RNA, 504 nt
Filed under: uncultured bacterium
Lineage: Bacteria
Description: partial 16S ribosomal RNA
Rfam family: Bacterial small subunit ribosomal RNA
Source: RNAcentral
AUUGAACGCUGGCGGCAGGCCUAACACAUGCAAGUCGAACGGUAGCACAGAGAGCUUGCUCUCGGGUGACGAGUGGCGGACGGGUGAGUAAUGUCUGGGAAACUGCCCGAUGGAGGGGGAUAACUACUGGAAACGGUAGCUAAUACCGCAUAACGUCGCAAGACCAAAGUGGGGGACCUUCGGGCCUCACACCAUCGGAUGUGCCCAGAUGGGAUUAGCUAGUAGGUGGGGUAAUGGCUCACCUAGGCGACGAUCCCUAGCUGGUCUGAGAGGAUGACCAGCCACACUGGAACUGAGACACGGUCCAGACUCCUACGGGAGGCAGCAGGGGGGAAUAUUGCACAAUGGGCGCAAGCCUGAUGCAGCCAUGCCGCGUGUAUGAAGAAGGCCUUCGGGUUGUAAAGUACUUUCAGCGGGGAGGAAGGCGGUGAAGUUAAUAGCUUCACCGAUUGACGUUACCCGCAGAAGAAGCACCGGCUAACUCCGUGCCAGCCGCCGCCGUAA